Scatophagus argus is the source of this 643-nucleotide long non-coding RNA. RefSeq lists it as uncharacterized. The record is from RefSeq and is a predicted model, not a curated record. The transcript is spliced from 3 exons. Lineage: Eukaryota; Metazoa; Chordata; Actinopteri; Scatophagidae.
GGGCUGACCAGCUGGCACUGUGGUGCAGCUGGCUAAAGCUGGUCACUCAGCACAACUCAUUAAUUUGACCAGAGAAGGAUCUGGGCUCACCAGUAACAGCCGAAGGUUCAUCUGCACAGAGAAGGAAGAGGGACAAAUGGAGAACAGAAACAAUGGAUCAAGGGGAGGAUACAGUCUUUGGGAUUUGCACACCAGCAAGCCUAAAGCAGCAACCUGCUGAGGCCUUGAGGCACUUCAAGCCAAACAUAGAAACAUGCAGAGCAACAAGGCAAUCACGCACCAUUUGUCCCUCUCUUCUAAACAAGGUUAGAGCUAUUAUAAAUAAAUAAAUAAAAAUAAAGACAAAGAUUGAUUGCAGCCCCGUGCCCACACAAAAGGGAAUGGUUUACAUUUUGUCCUUUUUUGAUUGAAUACAGUUGUGUUUCCAUGCCAGGCAUUUUCUUCUAGGUGAAAGUAGUGUACCAGAUUGUAAUUGACUAUGUGGCCCUUAGCUCUCCCAAACAGAAGCAGUAAUUGCUUCAUCCCCUAAAUGCUGCAUUAAUUUUUUGUCUUUUUUUUUUUUUUUAUUAGGUAAAAAGUGGAGUUAUUGACAGUGUGUGGCUGUGGCAUACUAUGGAAGCCACGCAUCUGCCCCAUUUUUGCU